Molecule: non-coding RNA, 330 nt
Organism: Chiloscyllium plagiosum (whitespotted bambooshark)
Lineage: Eukaryota; Metazoa; Chordata; Chondrichthyes; Orectolobiformes; Hemiscylliidae
Source: the annotation of a RefSeq genome assembly
AUGAUUUCAAACAUUCAGCUAAUCUGGCCCCCGGCAUUCUGUGUCGCAGGUAUCAGUGGGGACAUCAUCAUGACCCAAUCUCCUCCGGUGCUGUCAGUGGGACUGGGCCAGACCACAACCAUCACCUGUACGGCCAGUCAAGACAUUACAAAUGACCUCAGCUGGUACCAGCAGCGAGAAGGACAGAAACCCUCUCUCCUGAUCUAUGAAGCAACAACUCGAAACACAGGCGUCUCCGAGCGAUUCACCGGCAGAGGAUAUGGGACCAGUUUCACCCUGACAAUCAGCAACGUUCAGAAUGAGGAUAUCGCAGACUAUUACUGUAUGUAG